UCUCCGUAGGUGAACCUGCGGAGGGAUCAUUACCGAGUGCGGACCAGGAGACCCCUGGCCCGUGACCUCCAACCCUUUGUGGACCCAUCUCGUUGCUUCGGGGGCGACCCUGCCGUUCCGGCACCGGCGCCCCCGGAGCCCAUCAAACCCUGCGUAACUAAGUCGUCGGAGUUUAAACAAAUUAAACAAAACUUUCAACAACGGAUCUCUUGGUUCGGGCAUCGAUGAAGAACGCAGC
RNAcentral lists this unclassified non-coding RNA (238 nucleotides) under uncultured fungus. RNAcentral describes it as "sequence contains ITS1, 5.8S rRNA gene". The stretch from base 190 to 238 matches the Rfam family "5.8S ribosomal RNA", at positions 1 to 49 of the family's 154-position model. Lineage: Eukaryota; Fungi. The record is from RNAcentral.